UGUUAUCUCGCUCACGAAUGAUGAUGCCUUGAGCCACAGCAGACGCCGAUGCAGCUUCGAAUUGGCAACGGGCAACGUUAAAAAUAUGACGUUACAGUACGUCACAAUUGACGUCACAGUCUACUGACGUCACUCCGCUGCAGGUUCUAUGAGCAAAUAAUAAUUAAGAAUAUCACGUGAAACAAAAGAACUGCUGAAGGAAGAAAGGACGAAGAAAAGAGAGACAGAGAAGAAACGAAAAGCUCAAGAACGAAGAUGGAGCCAUUAAGCAUACCCAGACUAGGAUUUAUUCUUAGUCGAUGUAAAUACUAACUUAUGUGAGCUGUAGCAUAAAAGUCCCUUAUACUUA
Non-coding RNA from Ciona intestinalis (vase tunicate), 349 nucleotides. The record is from RefSeq and is a predicted model, not a curated record. Lineage: Eukaryota; Metazoa; Chordata; Ascidiacea; Phlebobranchia; Cionidae.